CAGCAGCCACGGUAAUACAAAGGGUGCAAGCGUUACUCGGAAUUACUGGGCGUAAAGCGUGCGUAGGUGGUGGUUUAAGUCCGUUGUGAAAGCCCUGGGCUCAACCUGGGAAUUGCAGUGGAUACUGGGUCACUAGAGUGUGGUAGAGGAUAGUGGAAUUUCCGGUGUAGCAGUGAAAUGCGUAGAGAUCGGAAGGAACAUCUGUGGCGAAGGCGACUAUCUGGGCCAACACUGACACUGAGGCACGAAAGCGUGGGGAGCAAACAGGAUUAGAUACCCGAGUAGUCCCUGUCUCUUAUAC
Molecule: ribosomal RNA, 301 nt
Filed under: uncultured bacterium
Lineage: Bacteria
Description: partial 16S ribosomal RNA
Rfam family: Bacterial small subunit ribosomal RNA
Source: RNAcentral